This 497-nucleotide ribosomal RNA is filed under the name uncultured bacterium. Its description in RNAcentral is "partial 16S ribosomal RNA". It matches the Rfam family "Bacterial small subunit ribosomal RNA", at positions 28 to 507 of the family's 1533-position model. The record is from RNAcentral.
GAUGAACGCUGGCGGCGUGCCUAAUACAUGCAAGUCGAGCGAACAGACGAGGAGCUUGUUCCUCUGACGUUAGCGGCGGACGGGUGAGUAACACGUGGAUAACCUACCUAUAAGACUGGGAUAACUUCGGGAAACCGGAGCUAAUACCGGAUAAUAUAUUGAACCGCAUGGUUCAAUAGUGAAAGACGGUUUUGCUGUCACUUAUAGAUGGAUCCGCGCCGCAUUAGCUAGUUGGUAAGGUAACGGCUUACCAAGGCAACGAUGCGUAGCCGACCUGAGAGGGUGAUCGCCCACACUGGAACUGAGACACGGUCCAGACUCCUACGGGAGGCAGCAGUAGGGAAUCUUCCGCAAUGGGCGAAAGCUUGACGGAGCAACGCCGCGUGAGUGAUGAAGGUCUUCGGAUCGUAAAACUCUGUUAUUAGGGAAGAACAAAUGUGUAAGUAACUAUGCACGUCUUGACGGUACCUAAUCAGAAAGCCACGGCUAACUACGUG